GAUGAACGCUGGCGGCGUGCCUAACACAUGCAAGUCGAGCGAACAGAUCCGGCGCUUGCUCCUCUGACGUUUGCGGCGCACGUGUGAGUAACGCGUGUAUACCCCCCCUAUCAGACUGGUAUAACUUCGGGACACCGGCGCUAACCCCGGAUAAUCUCUUGAUCCGCAUGGUUCAUUGGUGAAAUUCGGUUGUGCGGGAACUUAUAGAUGGAUCUGCGCCGCAUGAGCUAGUUGGUAAGGUUACGGCUUACCAAGGCGACGAGGCGUAGACGAACUGAGAGAGUGAUCGGCGACACGGGAACGUAGACGCGGUCCAGAGUCCUACGAGAGGCAGCAGAAGGGAAUCGGCCGCAAUGGGGGAAAGCCUGGCAGAGCGACGCCGCGUGAGAGAUAGAGAUCUUGGGAUCGUGAUACUCUGUUAUGAGGGAAAAACAAAUGUGUAAGUAACUAUGGACGGCUUGACGGUACCGGAUCAGGAAGCAACGGCUAACUACGUG
RNAcentral lists this ribosomal RNA (497 nucleotides) under uncultured bacterium. RNAcentral's name for it is "partial 16S ribosomal RNA". It matches the Rfam family "Bacterial small subunit ribosomal RNA", at positions 28 to 507 of the family's 1533-position model. The record is from RNAcentral.